This is a long non-coding RNA of Callithrix jacchus (white-tufted-ear marmoset), 15245 nucleotides long. RefSeq lists it as uncharacterized. NCBI's taxonomy places the organism in Eukaryota, Metazoa, Chordata, Mammalia, Primates, Cebidae. The record is from RefSeq and is a predicted model, not a curated record.
GGAGAAAGAAACGAAGAAAGUGAAGUUGGUAAAUAUAGGCGCAGGGAGACUUGGAGACAGACGACCAGGGAUAAAGGGGUCCGGGUGAGGUGGAAUCUUAGUCGGAGACUAGGUAAGAAGCCAGGCAAAUCUGGUGGUGACCCCACCAGUCCUACAUUCAUUCCAUCGACCUCCUGGGAACCUGUUGCGGAGAGAUUUGAGAGGGCGAAGAUUCCAGGGUCCCAGUCCUAUGGGGCCCCCCUAAGGCCUAGGGGGAAUAAACAGGAGACAGUGAUCAGGUUGCGGACCUCAACCACUCUGCCUUAUUAAUCACAUUCUACCAACUGAUCACCUGAAAGAAAAUGCACAGGACUCAAAAGGAGGUGGCUAUCCUCUUGAAUCCAAGCCAGGGGACCCAUGCUGGGCUUGCUCACAGCUGCUUCUCGCCAGAACGCGGCCAAGAGGAGGAGAGCAAAAGGCGGAGAGGACCCCGGAGAAGAGGACUGGCGCCCUCUAGAGGAUGAGGAAGCUCAAUACCACCAUGACAGAGGAAAUUGACCCUGUCCUUUGCCCGAAAACAUGCAAAAGACACAACAGGGGAGGAUCAAGAAGGUGAAGCCAUGUCCUAUCUGGAGGAGGAGACACCCUCUGUCUCAACCAGAGGCCCUGCCUGUCCUUAAGAACCUAACCCAGGAACCAAAUGAAAAAGCAGCUGUCUGGCUACAGAGAACGUAUCCAACAGAGCACAGCAAGAUCCACCUGACAGGGGCUGAAGUGAAUCACUUGGCUGCCCCAGGACAGGAUGGAAGAGUGGCUUCCCUACUAAAGGAUUCUGCACAACUAGUGCAGAAGCUGGGAGUGGCCCCCAGGAGGCUUUGCACCGCAGUCCAUGUGCACCUGGUCGGAGUGGAUUUUGCAUUUUUGUGAAUUGUGGUGGCUUGGAGAGCUGCCCACCCUAUAUGAGGCCUCAUAACCCGCCGGGCAGAACGGUGAUGGAGAACGCUAGCUGAGGCCGAAGAUGUCCUCCAUCAGCUCGGCACAUUCCAGCGGGAUUAUCUGGCGGCAGAUGGCGCGGCGUGAGGACUCUGUACCCCGAGGAGGCUGAAUGGAGUGCUUAGUCCAUGGUAGCUUCUCAGGGGGGCCUGACAAGCACAAGUCCUGUUCCUGUCAGUGACAGCUAAGGCUAAACAACCCACCAGUCCAUGGCUGCCCUGGGUGGAAUAGAAACCCAUGGUGGACAAACUCAGCCCAGUGUUGCCUGCAAUCGUGAAAACAAUGCCCCACCUGGCCCAAAUCACAAGGAGCAUCACCAGCGAGGCCGCCCCCUCCUAGUCCGAAUGAACCACCAGCAGCCAGGCCCCCGGUUGAGCGGGAACCCUGAGAUGCACGGAAGAUGUCAUCUGUUAGUCACGGUUCUGCAGAGCAACAGAACAAAUAGGAGGUGAUGCGUCUACGUCUAUGAGGAGAUAUACAGGAUUUAUUAUAAGGAAUUGGCCCACACCGAUCCAGAGGCCCACAAGUCCCAAGACCUGUAGUUGGUGAGCUGGGGACCCAGGAGAGUGGGUGGCACAGGUCCAGUGUAACGACCAGCAGGCCUGAGGCCGAGGAAGGGCUGACGUUUCUGUUCAUGCUCUAAGGCGGGAAUAAAUGGCGUCUCAGCCCCUGCAGUCAGGCAGGAGGAGGGGCUGACUCUGACUCACGGAGUCAGCGGUCUUGUUUUACUCAGGCCUUCAACUGACUGGGCAGGGGACCCCACAUCCGGGAGGGAGGUCAGCUUCACUCAGUCUUCCAGAGAAAGGUUAAUCUUACCCAGAAACACCCUCAUAGCCACACCCAGAACAGUUUGACCCAGUGUGUGGGCACCCUUGUGGCCCAGGCAAGUUGACACAUAAAAUUCACCAUCACAGGUUGUUUGGAGUCCUAAGGGACAAGAGGAUCCCAAAUGCGAAGUGCUCUGAUAAAUCGGUGGAACAACACAGCAGGAGCCGGGGUGGGGGGCGGCGUGGCAGGCCCCUGCUUCCGAGGCAGCCUAGCCUUCAGCACCUGCCUUGAUCUCUGCCAAUGACAGGGGCCCGCCCCACACAGAUCCCAUGGGAAGCAGCCCCUCGGGCAGAUGAUCACCCUUUACCACAUUAACUGACGUUUGCUCUCUGGCAAAUGAAUGCCCCGGGCGGGCUCUCAACAAGGGUGCUGGAAUCUCCCUCAUCCCAGGCAGCAUUCAAAUUUAAAGGGCCCUCCCCAGGAGGUGGCCCGCUGGGGAGGAGGAGCCAGGAAAGCAUCAUCACCCACUUCCCAUUCCAGUUGGCCCAGGGUUGCUAAAAGACGUUUUUGUCCUGGUUGUUGUCCCCAAUCCGCCCCGUGUCCCAUCACUGGAACGGGCCCUCUCAGUCAGAGGGUGAGCUCAGGGAAUAGCCUAAGGCUCCUGAGCGCCGCUGCUGCCGGGUGGGAGCGGGUUAACCAAGCCGCUUCCCCUGCGAAUGUCGGGGUCCACUUGCCCCACAGCAGCUGAGGCAAGGCCUGCUGCGCUGACUUGGUUAGGGAAGGGGAACGACCUCCUACCAUCUCGCCUUCCAGCUCCCUGGUAUGAGUGGUGCUGAAAGCCACUACUAAAGAGUGAGGCGAACUCCAGACUACGGAGCCUUACACAAGGCUGUCCCCUGGCUUGGAGCGCUUCUGGCCAGACAUCGUCGCCUUAAGCCACAUUCAAAACAACCUGGCUAAAUAGUUUGGAGCUAAAGACUCUGCUGACAUGUUCUGUUCCAUAAAAAUGGUGAGUCCCAGGAGACUCACCACAAUCGCCUUCCCCUUUUGGGGCCAACAGGACACUUUGCACUGGUUGACCCUGGGGUCGUUCUGUACCCCCCGCCCUGCCCCUGAUUGCACAUGGGCUGCCCACUCCCCCAGCACAGUUCGUCUUUGCCAUCACAUCCACAACAUCCUCCUCACUGAAACAGACCACCAUGCUGUCCCACAGCGAUCGCAGUCCUGAGUAAGCACUUCACUGCGAGCGGAUGGGCAGCUGCCCCUCCAUAAGGUCCAAGGCUCCUCCCAGUCUGUUGAAUUCAGGGGCUAUGUGUGGUACUCAGAAGGGUAAACUGUCCUUUAUCCUGUAAAAGACAAGCUCUGGCUGGGUGCGGUGGCUCAUGCUUGUAAUCCCAGCGCUUUGGGAGGCCGAGGCAGGAGGAUCACGAGGUCAUGAGUCCGAGACCAGCCUGGCCAACAUGGUGAAACCCCGUCUCUACUAAAAAUGCAAAAAAUUACCCUGAUGGGGUGGCAGGCACCUGUAAUCCCUGCUACUCAGGAGGAUGAGGCAGGAGAAUCACUUGAACCUGGGAGGUGGAGGUUUCAGUGAGCCGAGAUCACACCACUGCACUCCAGCCUGGGCAUCAGAGACUCCAUCUUACAAAUAAAAAAUAAAAUAAAAUAAAAAAGACAAGUCCCAGAGGUACAGCCUCCCACACUGGCAAGGACACCCAACUGUGGCAGGCAGGUUUGGAUUCCGGUGCCACCACAUUCCCCACUUCCAAUAUUUUCUAGGAGCUAUCUGUAGAGUCUCCCUUACCUAUUCCACUCUCCAGCCGGGACCUGAGCAACAGAGGCCACAUAAACACAUGGAGGCUGUUACGUCAUCUUUCCCACCUGCCCCGACGAUAGGACCCACAGUAAGAACAUCCCUCCAAAUUUGCUUCCCGAAGCAUCAGCCCCAAAUGCACAGGCGAGCACCUACCCAUGGGCUUCUGUAGGCAGCUGCCAGCCUCAGCCCAAAGGUAUUCGCCUCGAGAGAGACACCACCUGACGGCACCCUGGGCACUUCAGGAAACAGAGGCCCUUCCUGGGACACAGUCCACCACUCUGUACACUGAGAUUCCUAGUCUGGCCGGCACAAUGGGAAAGCUCCCCCUAAAACUGAAUCCGCAACAGAAGCCCCUGAUCAAAAUAGAAAUGGGCUCCACGGGCUCCAACUAAACUCUGCCCUCCUGGAGUGCCACAAGCCCAUGAGCAAAUUGCCACAUAACCUGCUGGGGAGGAAAACUUGCCAAACCCUAGAAAUGCCUCCGCCUCCAGGCAGCAAACCACCUUGCCAUGAAUGUACCUAUGUAACAAUCUUGCAUGAUCUGCACAUGUAUCCCAGAAUCUAAAGUACAAUGAAAAAGAAAAGAAAAGAAAAGAAAAAGAAAUGCCUCCACCCCUUGCUCGAGGAGACCAGAAGGAGGAAGACCACAGCACUCUCAAAACAAGAAAAGCAACACCUUUUCUUUACAGAUGGAGGCACAUGGGCAAUACGGGAGCCAGGCAAUGACACCCGCAGCCCGGAACCUCAGUCAACCAGUCCAGUUUCCAUGCGGGCUGAGCUGCGUGCACUACUCCUAGCAACAGACCAUGCUCUUGGCAAACAUGCCCCCAAGGUAUUUCACUGACUCCAGGUCAGAGGCUAAUGGGCUGACUACAUAGUUGGGGCGUUGGCAAAACCAAGGUUGAAAAUACAAGACCCAGACACUUGGGAUAAAGAGAUGGGGGCUGUAAAUUGCCGAAUUCGCCCUGCUCUGCCUAUGGUUGUGCACCGUACCUUUGCUAACAUUAAGCAAGAUGCGGAGGAGGUGCAAUAUCAUGCCAAGAACAAGCUAACAAAACCAGCGAAGCAGUCAGGGCUGCGAAGGAGGGCGAGUCCUCGGUCCCUGGGAACAAGCCAUCUGACUUCUUCUACCAACGGGCACAUGAGAUCAAGGCACUUGGGCACCACGAGGUUGUGAAAAUGGGUUGUGAAGAGAGGAGUUGACCCAGCAGAGGGACAUUUAAACAAAGUCAUUGGGGACCGUACCAGCGCCAGCAAUCCAGACAUUGGGGCCACCACAUGGGAGGAAAAAUUUAGAGAGAAGGGCUACAUCAAAACUGGCAAACUGACUCCUUGGGCAUCUCCCUGCAGCAGCUGGAACCGUGAAAUACACCUGAACAGUGGUGGAUACCUACACAGGCAUCUAUCGGCUUACCCACGCAAGGCAGCCACCUCUAUUCAUGUUAUUGAGAGAGAAUCUGUAGGAAAAUGGCCCCUCAAGUGGUAAGAAGAAAGUACUGCCCAUAGGCCUGAUCAUUAUGCCACAUGCCUAUGCCAUGACUACACCAUAUUGAAAUUCACAAUAGAUGAAGAGACCACUAGCAGGACAUUGUCACCCCUGCUGGUGUACAAGCCCACACCAGAGACAGUUACUGGCUUUCACAAGACAUGGGAGCCCAGCGUUGUUAGAGCAAAGGAACUUCCAGCUGGUACUUUCAUCUUUACCUCCUCCCUCCUGGAAAGUACGGGGCCGAGCCACUUCCCUUCAAUCCCGAUGAGGAUCUCAUGAGGACCACCCACUAGGACCAUCCUCAGCCUGUGUCUCCUCACCCUGUGGAGCAGGCAUCUGCAGAGAGAGAUGCCCUCAUCCCACGACCCAUGUCCUCCACUGAAGGUACCAUAGGACACAGCUGGACCUGUUCCCCACACCCAAACGGUUUAUCCCUCCAAACCACUAAUGCCACUUGAGUGAUACCCAAGGGACAAUCCAAUCCCUACUCCUGGCCACAGAUGACCUCUGACUUUAACCCCUAUUGUGUUGCUGUGCCCUUUUCUUACCUGAGAAGCUGGUACCUUCGCCAGUGUCAAGUACACAUCCACUGAUGGUUCACCCUACCCUGGUCAUCUACACGCUACUGCUGACCAAGGUAUGUCUGGAAAUACAUUUCACAUGCACCCCACGGGGUAACACAUGACACGGGGCAUCUGAGGAUGAUGGGAACCACACUGUUGACUAUUUGAGCUGGUCAUUCCUAUUAACACAACCGGAAAUCAACCCUGAGGCUAGCAUGCCUCCCCUUCUCUCUGCUACCGAAACCAGCACCUGUUCCAACUAAGCCAGACUCAGACACCACUUGUGAAUCUUGGGUGCCUGGUAAGUCGUAUAGUGCAACUUUUGCCUCACAUCCAAUAAAACCAUUAUUAACAACUGCCAUCAAACGGAGCAAUGGGCCACACCUAUAGAGUCUCAUUGAAGGCAUGCCCAGAGAUACUAUGCACCUGACACUGCUCCUUUCUGGUGCAAUCAAAGGAAAAAUGCUGAAUCCAGCCAAUACCAGCAAACCCUAAGGAUUAGAGAGAUCAAAUUCCAGCUCUUACAAAUCCCUGGGGUGAUGAAAAGUGUAAACCCCGCCUCCAGUGUACACCCUUUCAACUCCUGGCCUCUUUUUCUACUUCUCAUAGUGAUCUCUGUCCCCCUCCAGUGCCAGCCCCACUUGCUGAGAAAGAAAUUGCACUAACCAAGUGGCCAAGGGCAUCUUUCCAUGAAGCCUCUCCCUGGCCUCUUCAACAUAUACAAACAAAGCUAUGCACAUUACACCAAGUUAUCUGCACCAAGGCAUGUCUACAAUAUCAGGGAUUACAACCAGUUUAGGAAUUCUUUCCUAACUUAACCUCGCAAUACCAACGACCAGUUUUGCAUCACACUCAAUGGAAAUGAGUACUGUGCUCUGUAACAAUUGCAACAUUGGCUUCCCACAGUGAGCCAUCAGAGUUCCAGGGAUUACAGCAAAGACAGUUCUUACCAAAACCCAUAUUUGGGCUGGGCGAGGUGGCACACACCUGUAAUCCCAGCACUGUGAGAGGCCAGGCUGAGGAUCACUUGAACCCAGAAGUUUGAGACCAGCCUGGGCAACAAAGUGAGACCCCCAUCUCUACAUUUAUUUUUUAAUUUUUUGAGACGAAGUCUCGCUCUGUCGCCCAGGCUGGAGUGCAGUCGUGCAAUCUCAGUUCACUGCAACCUCUACCUCCUGAGUUCAAGCGAUUCCCCUGCCUCAGCCUCCCAAGUAGCUGGGACUACAGGGGCACACCACCACGCCUGGCUAAUUUUUUGUAUUUAUAGUAGAGAUGGGGUUUCACCAUGUUGGCCAGAAUGGUCUCGAUCUCCUGACCUCAUGAUCCGCCCUCUUCAGCCUCCCAAAGUGCUGGGAUUAUAGGUGUGAGGCACCGUACCCAGCCACAAAUUUUUUUUUAGUUAGCAGGGUGUGGUGACACCGCCUAUCCCUAGUUAGGAGGCUGAUACUGGAGGAUUGCUCGAGCUCAGGAGUUUGAGGCUGCAAUGAGCUGUAAUCACAUUACUGUACUUCAGCCUGGGCAACAGAGUGGGAUCCUGUCUCUGAAAAAGAAAAAAAAAGCCACAUUUGAUCCCAUGGAGAAAUCUAACCACUCUCUACAUGGGACUUUCUCCACUCAAAUUGGUAACUAAAUGUUUACACCACUUGCUCCCAAUGGGGCACCCCAGAGGCUAUUAAAGCUAUAGAAAUGACAGGGCGCAGUGGCUCAUGCCUGUAUUCCUAGCACUUUAGGAGGCUGAGGCAGGCAGAUCACUUGAGGUCAGGAGUUGGAGACCUGGCCAAAAUGGGGAAACCCCAUUUCUACUAGAGAUACAAAAAUUAGCUCGGUGUGGUGGUGGGUGCAAGUAUCCCAGCUACUCGGGAGGUGGAGGUAGGAACCCAGGAGGCAGACGUUGCAGUGAGCUGAGAUGGUGCCACUGAACUCCAGCCUAGGUGACAGAGAUUCCAUCUAAAAAAAAAAAGUUGUACAAAUGGCUGCUCUAGAACAGUUUUCCCAAGGAGGAAAGGGAUGGAGCAAUUGGCCCCCACAACUGGGAAUUCCCAGUCUCUUAAACACAGGACAGAUAUGGCUCAAACAUAGAAUACAAUUGAUGUCUAUGUUUGAAAUAACUUGGAUGCCCCUGUGAAGAUACCAUAUGCGAGUGCUCCAUAGUACAGAGUCUACUUUGGUAUGGGGCUAAAUUAACAACUUUAAAAAAUGCUCAGAACAAUUGCAAAGUUUAUCCCUUACCCACGGAAGUACAAACAUGCUAUUUAAUAUUGGCAAUUGGCAAGAAACUCAGAUACCAAUGUGCACCAAUGAGAACAAAGAGGAAAAUAAUAAUUGCCCACCAAACCGAGCGUGCAUAGAUAUAGCCUUAGCCACAGCCAUCCACAAAUGGCAAAUUUAACUGCAUGCUUGCUUCUGCCAACCUGAUUUUAAUCCACAUGGUGUAAUUCCUCUCUCCCAGCCAAGCUCCCCAACAAACCUCACUAAUCAAGAUGAACCUAAUCCCCUGGCUAUAGACAUCCAAUAGCAAUGUCCAGAGGUUAAUCUCAUGCAAAUAUGUGGACAAUGGUGGGCUGAGCCCAUAACCAACUGAGCUGACCCAGGUGCUGAAUAUGAGGUGGGUUACAUGCACGUUUGCUUCCCUAUAACAUUAUAAGCUCCUAUUAACACCACCUGGAUUUGCUCUGAGCCACACAAACUUCCCUUCAUAGGAACAGAGAAUACAGGCCGCAGAGGGACCCUGGUGAACCUGUAAGGGAAUCAAAGGGCUUGUCACAAGCUUCCCCUUAUCUGACACUGUUAUACUUAAUGGUAAUAACUCAUAAAACAUAGCUGUUUUUAUUAAAUCAAUAAUAUUAAGCUAAUCUUGUUUGCCAAAGGUUUACCUAAAUUAUGCAACUUGAAUUUUUAAAACAUUGAUGUUAGGUUUUAGGGAAUACUUUUUCCCCCACACUGAAAGUAUUAGAAAUUCAGAAUUUUUUUUCCUGACAGUUUUAGGGUUUUUAAGGAAUUUUAUAAAUUAAUUUGAUAAUAUUAUCCGAAGGUAGAAAAAUAUCACAUAUGCAUCAAAUAAAUACAUCAACAUACAGACAGAUGCAAAUAAAGAUCUUACAGCUUUCUUCCUAAAGUUUUAGCCACAAUCACAGCAACAGAGUUGGCUCUUGUCUUUACCCCCACUUUGUAUUUUUAUCAGAAUUAUGCUCCUGGCAGAUGGGACAAGUUGAGGUUUACCUAUUCAAUAUGAGGGCUAAAGUUUCCCCUCAAUAUUUGUGGAGGAGACUUUUAAGAUUCUCUUGGCCUGGCGCGGUGGCUCAUGCCUGUAAUCCCAGCACUUUGGGAGGCCGAGGCGGGUGGAUCACAAGGUCAAGAAAUCGAGACCAUCCUGGUCAACAAGGUGAAACCCCGUCUCUACUAAAAAUAUAAAAAAUUAGCUGGGCGUGGUGGCACGUGCCUGUAAUCCCAGCCACUGAGGAGGCUGAGGCAGGAGAAUUGCCUCAGGCAGGAGGAGUGCAAUUCUCACAGGCUGGAGUGCAAUGGCGCGAUCUCGGCUCACCGCAACCUCCGCCUCCUGGGUAACAAGAGCGAAACUCAGUCUCAAAAAAAAAAAAAAAAGAUUCUCUUUGCCCUGAUGUGUGGUAUCUCCAAAGACCACCUGAGUAGAUAAAAUAUCCAGUCUGUUUCCAGUUAGUUUUUUCAGCCUCUGGUGCUUGCUUUUGGGGUCCCUGAGCCCCUCAAGAGUCCCCCAGUGGUGGCAGAGGGACUAAAGCGCUAACGACUAUAGGGAGUUGAGGUACUGGUUUCAGAAGUGAAAGGUCUGGCAGGGGGAGACAGGUGGAGGAGGUAGAUGUAUGAAUGGGGACACAUCAAAGGAUCCAAGGAAACUGAAAGGAAGAUCAAAGGUGGCAAGAGAAGGAAGGAGGAGUGGAGCUCAGGAGAAGGGAAAAGUCUUAGAUGAGCUAAUUUUUGGAGAGCUCAAGUUCCCUAAAGACGCUACCGAAGUUCCAAAUUGUCUCUGGCAAUUCUUUGGCCAUUCAUGAAUAUAUUAGACUGAACCACUAUGUAGUAAACAGGAAAGAAGAGGAGGGAAGGCAUCUAAGAGAAUGAGUUCCCCGUGGGAUUAACAGAUAAUAAGCCAAGAUUGAAUUGCCAAGGGAACACUUCAUGUAAUCUCCAUGGCAGAAAGCCCAGAGAACUCCCACACACAAUUUCUGGGAUGGAGUCAAGUGAACCCCACACCCCAUGCAAUCGCCAGGGAUUGAGGAGCGGAGGAAAUUCCCACAUACAAUCCCCAUGUUUGAGAUGCCAAGAAAAUUCUUCUGCAUAAUCCCCCAGUUUAGCGAACCAAGAAAAAAAAAAACAGAAAAGGCCUCACAGAAAGGGAUACAGAAGUCUUUUUGCCAGAAAGAAUAAACGUAACUCCUGACUACCACAUUUCAACAGAUAAACCUUCAAAACACUGGAUUAGAUUAGGAAGUAUGACUCCCCACCACAGAGUCCUACUUUUCCAGGCAAAAAACACACAAAAGUACCGUGUCAAAGGGUCCAGGAAGCCAGCAUGAAUAACUGGGUGAAGACACAGGGUCAGAGGGAACAGCCAGCACUACAUCUGAGUCAUGCCAGCAUUAGUAUUCAAAGAAACACAAAUCAGGAUUUAGUAAGGAGAGACUUUUAUUUAAAAGGAUUAUUACAAAGGAAGGAAAAGCACUAUUGCACUAGGGAGAGGAGGAUGAUUGCAAUAGGGAGAAUGCUGUGACUACGAGGUCUGCAAGACUCAAAGCAAACAGAAAAAGGCUUUUCUUUUAUAGAGGAAGGAGGAGGCAAGCAGAGAUAAGCAAUCUUUGGAAAGGAAACUGGACAAGCAGGGGGCAUGCCCCGGUUCUUUGUGUUCAGGUUUAAGGAUAAGCAGAGGGUAAGCAAUGGGCAACUGUGAACCUCUCCAAGGCUUACAGCCAGCCAGGUACACCGAAGAGACAAACAAAUCAAAGUCUUCUCCCUUUCUGAUCUUUUCUCCUGGCUUUCCCGCACUAAAUGGGCAGACUGGAUGCAAAUAGGCUAUGAAAUCUUAAUUUGUGGCCUAUAAGACCAAGAAUCUUAUACAACUCUUAUAGGUUGCUUUAUCACUGGCACCAAAAUCAGUUAUUAUGAAAUAACAUACAACUAAGAUUAUAGGCCCGGCGCAGUGGCUCACGUCUAUAAUCCCAGCGCUUUGGAAGGCCAAGGCAGGCGGAUCACGAGGUAGGAGUUCGAGACCAGCCUGACCAACAUGGUGAAACCCCAUCUCUACUACAAAUACAAAACUUAGCUGUGUGGUGACGCAUGCCUGUAAUCCCAGCUACUCAGGAGGCUGAGACAGGAGAAUCACUUGAAUCCCGGGAGGUGGAGGUAGCAGUGAGCCAAGAUUGUGCCACUGCACCCCAGCCUGGGCGACAGAGUGAGACUCAGUUUCAAAAAAAAAAAAAAAAAAGAUUAUAAAGCCACCUAGGCCCAGGGCAUGGAUUUUUAUUUUUAUGAAUUUAGCUACUUAGUUAUUUGUGGAGACCCCCAGGCUGGAAUGCAGUUGCACAAUUAUAGCUCACUGCACCAGUGUCACCAGAGCUGGUCUCAAAUUCCUGGCCUCAAGCAAUCCUCUCAAAGUGCUGGGAUUACAGGUAUGAGCCACUGUGCCGGGCCCAGGAUGCUUUCAUAUAUAUAUAUAUAUAUAUAUAUAUAUAUAUAUAUAUAUGAGCCAAACAUGGCCUCUAUGUAUUAACCCCCAGGUUAUUUCUUCCCUGCAGGUUGAGAUCCAUUCAUUCAAAGGCCCACCAGUGCCAAACUUAAAUAUUUGCACAUCCAAUUAUUUUUUAAAACUAGACCAAAGAGGAAUUUUUUUUUUAGCCAUUUACAGCCUACCUGUUUUGCAUGCUUCACAAAAUUUCACCCCACAUCUGUUAACAAUAGAUAAGCCCUGGGCCAUAAGGACCCCAAGCCUCUACUGCCCUUAUGAGCUGUCUGACCCAAUAACUCCAUGCUGCUGGCUAAGCAACAUCACCUAGACACAUAAGUCUCCUCUCUGACCCCCAUCUCCCCUAAGAAUUCCUUGCCUUCAUUCCCUUCUGAGUAACCUCUGUACAGACUCCUGCUGUGAGGGACCUCUGCCACACACAAGCCUGUCAAGGCACCACCCACUAAAGCUGUGCAUGCUACUGCCACCUCGUGGUUCCAUCAUUUUCCUCCAUCGGCCCCCAAAUCCCUCAAACCACCUACAUCUAUGGCAAAAUUGGAGUUGACAGUGAAUACAACUGUAUUACCUAGUGGUAAAUAUUAAUAGUUCAGUAGUUCCGUACCUUUGUAACCCUACCCCAUAUGAAUGGGAAUGAACUGAGGGGGAGGCACUUGCUAGACUAGCAUUACUGACAGAAAUCCGGGUCAGUGACUGAACCUAACAUCCCUUCCAAAGGCAAAAAAGUUUGGAUAGAAAUAACUGACAAGUGGAGAGAAAAAUAAAUGGUAGUUGAGUGGAAACGAAUGAAUAAAUGGUUUAUGCAAUGGGGGAAAUCCACUAUUAAACUGGUGCCUCGAGAGAGGCUCGGAUCAAGAGAAUAUUGUCUCCUCCUAGCACAAUUACACCAGAUGCUUAAAACGUGAAGCCAUAUGUCUGUUGAGACUACCUCUCCUUUUGGAAACUGGCAAGGUUGAAUGGAAGCCUGCAAACCUCAGUGACAUCAUUCUGGGAGACAUUUUGGUUACAUCAUAUGAUGAUGAACUAGACCAAUUGUUGAUGACUGAGUGAAACUCGACAUGCCAGUAUCUUUCGACUGUUGUCAAAAGUAAAUCAUUUGGGGCCAGGCACAGUGGCUCACACCUGUAAUCUCAGCACUUUGGGAGGCCAAGGUGGGCAGAUCACCGAGGUCAGGGGUUCAAGACCAGCCUGGCCAACACGGCGAAACCCCGUCUCUACUAAAAAUACAAAAAUUAGCUGGGCAUCAUGGCAGGUGCCUGUAAUCCCAGCUACUCAGGACGGCUGAGGCAGGAGAAUCGCUUGAACCCGGGAGGUGGAGGCUGCAGUGAGCCGAGAUUGCACCACUGCACUCCAGCCUUGUCAACAGAGCGAGACUCUGUCCCAAAAAAAAAAAAAAAAGAUAUCAUUUUGGAAGGAAUUUCUAGGAGCUACACCCUGCCAGGCUGUCGGACUGCAUGUCGUAAAAGUCCCAGCAGACUGAUUACCGUGUAACUAUAGACCUUAAUGAUAGAAUACUUAGAAAGUUCCCCGGUUAUAAGAGACAAAGUAUAGCAGCAGCAUAUCUGACAUGCUCCAGUUAGCCAUGCACAAAUGUAUAUCACCCUUGUUUUGUGGAUGGGAAGUUAUCAGGUUGGUGCAAAAUAUUGCAGUUUUACAUUACAUUAAAAGUAAUGGCAAAAAUCGCAAUUACUUUUGCACCAACCUAGUAUUAACCAGAAUAGAAAAAACAAAUGGGUUUCCCACAGGAUUAAAGCAAUAGACAUCAGGUGGUAGGCUCAAAUUCCCUAGGGAAAUGCCCCACCCUGAGAUGAGGAAGGCUAUGUGAGCCCUUAUGUCAUACUCAGACUAAAUUACAUCUAGAUGUGAUUACCAAUCAUCUAACUCUGUUAUGAGGAUCCCAACAUUUUGGGAUACACAUGUGUCCUAGCUGCACUCAGGCCAGCAGUGCCCAAUGGCAACAACAUGCAUAGUGGAUUAAACAAUGUUGAUUCAUGGAACAGAAAAGGGCUUUAAGGGAGCUAGGUGCUGGUCUAGGCAUCGUGGGACAAGUUGAAUUCGCUUUUAAGGAGAAGUAGCACUCAGAAGAAAAGAUGUAUAAACUAGAAUGCAUAGACUAGAGGGAUUCUCUUCCAAGAGAAAGACAAAGGAUGGUGUCAGCCUGGAAAGGUAAUAAGGCUUUAGUGAAGUGGGGCAGGCAGGCUCAACAAAUAAUGCUGGGUAAUGCUAGGAUCCAGUAUUGGAAAAGGGUUUGUACCCAGACCCAGCAGGGCCUCUUGACUAUUUUAAUACAGAUGGAGACCAAAAUGGCCAUAAGGACACCUGUGUCCUCCCCAUAGAAGGGAUAUGGGCCCUGAUUUAUAACAACACAUAAUGGAAAUCAGUCUCAGUGCAAGCCUGUGGAUUGAGAUAAGAUGACGGAUUUUGUCCUCAAUUGUCUUAGAAUCCAGAGUUAACCAAGUUAUAGCUCAUUGUAAUAAUACUUGUCAAGAAUAAUAUCUGGUAUACGCACAAGUGCUGAUUCUGUUAGGACGGUUUAGCAAAUACCUCUGUAAUUCUUACUGACUUGAAAUAAAUCCAUAUUCUAACCAUACUGUGAUAGGCUGUAACACUGGCAUUGUUAAUAAGAUUCAACUGUCUUAUAUGAAUAACUCAUGUGAUAAUACAGAUAUGAAUAGUCAAAUUUAUUGGAAGAUUGAGUUAAAGCUUAUUCAGGAUGUAAUACUGAUGGAGAGUUGCUGGUCUGAGGAAAAACUAGAUUUAGCUAACCAUCAGCUACUUUUUAUCCUAAAUAGUUCUGUAUAGAUUUAUCAUAACGUACAAAUAGCAGUAGAUCAAGAGGGUAAAUAAAUAAUGAAAUUAGGCCGGGCACAGUGGCUCACGCCUGUAACACCAGCACUUUGGGAGGCUGAAGCAGGUAGACUGCUUGAGCUCAGCAGUUUGAGACCAGCCUGGGCAACAUAGUGAAACCUUGUCUCUACAAAAAAUAUAAAAAUUAGCUGGGCAUGGUGGUACAUGCCUGUAGUCCCAGCUACUUGGCAGGCUGAAGUGGGAGGAUCACUUGACCCCAGGAAGCAGAGGUUGCAGUGAGCCAAGAUCUUGCCACUGCACUCCAGUCUGGGUAAUAGAGCAAGACUGUGUCUCUAAAUACAUAAAUAAUCAAAUUAGCAUGAAAUGUAAUGGUUUUGUAAGAUGGAUUAGUUGUCUAUUUAAAUCUACCCCUACCCUACACUAGCUCUUCCAAAUGUUAGGAAUAUGCAAACAGAUACUAUUGCUAUGUGUAGUAUAUGCUAUACUAAAUACUAAACUAAAUGUAGAUGCUCAAACAAAUUUUAUCAUUUUGCUGUAAGAGAGCCUGGGCCAAGGGCCAGAGGAGUGGGCUUUGCAGUAAAGUGUUAACUCAGCAGGCCUAAGCUGCCCAAACCCUGCACAUUUCAAAUGUCUUUAGAAUUGACCCUGGACCAAUUCCUAAGAAAUAAUCUCUGAGCCCUUGGAAUAUCUUGCCUGAUAAGAGUCUCUUUGUAUACCUGAAAUCUUAGGGCAAGACAAAUAGUUUAUGCUAACAAUGUGAUCUACAUAAAUGCAUAUUUUUGUAUGCUUGGGACUUCGAGUCACACUAUAUCACUUUGACUUCUGGCAAGCUGGGGUCGAAGUGGCUAAGGUCAAGUCAUAUGGACAUUCCAUGCCUACAGAACUGACUCCCAAUAAAAAACCCUAGAAAGCAAGACUCAGGUGAGUUGCCCUGGUUGGCUAUACUUUAUACGUGUUGUCACAUACCAUUGCUGGGAAAAUUAAGUGCUAUUCAUAUGACUCUACUCAGAGAGGAUAACUGGAAGCUUCUACCUGGUUUCUCCUGAACUCUGCUCUAAUGCACCUUUUUUCUUUGCUGGUUUAAUCUGUAUCUUUAGCUAUAAUAAACCAUAACCAUAAAUACAA